ACAAACUUGGUCAUUUAGAGGAAGUAAAAGUCGUAACAAGGUUUCCGUAGGUGAACCUGCGGAAGGAUCAUCAUUGAAUAUAAAAAAAAUAUCAAGCCUUUGGGGGGAGAGAAAUUUUCUUCUGGGGGUUUGCAAACAACUUUAAUACCCAAAAGGAUAAUCUUUCUUUGGUUUCAGCUUGAGCUCAUUUGUUUGGGUUUGGGUUGAUGGCUGGAGAAGAAAAGAGUAACGAGGGGGGACCCUCUGAACUCUGGAAAUUUAACAUGCGUUUGCCUGAAAAAAGUGUUUGGUUUAUUUGGGAAUGUGAAACAACUUUCAACAACGGAUCUCUUGGCUCUCACAUCGAUGAAGAACGCAGC
This 359-nucleotide unclassified non-coding RNA is filed under the name uncultured fungus. Its description in RNAcentral is "partial contains small subunit ribosomal RNA, internal transcribed spacer 1, and 5.8S ribosomal RNA". The stretch from base 1 to 73 matches the Rfam family "Eukaryotic small subunit ribosomal RNA", at positions 1759 to 1831 of the family's 1831-position model. Lineage: Eukaryota; Fungi. The record is from RNAcentral.